GCGUUAGUAGUUUAAUGGUAGAAUAGUUGUGUGCCACACAAUUGAUAAGGGUUCGAUUCCCUUCUGACGCUCCA
This 74-nucleotide transfer RNA is filed under the name Pseudomonas syringae pv. actinidiae. Its description in RNAcentral is "tRNA-Gly". It matches the Rfam family "tRNA". Rfam says of the family: Transfer RNA (tRNA) molecules are approximately 80 nucleotides in length. Their secondary structure includes four short double-helical elements and three loops (D, anti-codon, and T loops). The record is from RNAcentral. Lineage: Bacteria; Pseudomonadati; Pseudomonadota; Gammaproteobacteria; Pseudomonadales; Pseudomonadaceae.